RNAcentral lists this ribosomal RNA (506 nucleotides) under uncultured bacterium. RNAcentral's name for it is "partial 16S ribosomal RNA". It matches the Rfam family "Bacterial small subunit ribosomal RNA", at positions 28 to 507 of the family's 1533-position model. The record is from RNAcentral.
GACGAACGCUGGCGGCGUGCUUAACACAUGCAAGUCGAACGGUGAAGGGACUGGUUUUGCUGGUCCUGGAUGAGUGGCGAACGGGUGAGUAACACGUGAGUAACCUGCCCCCUUCUUCUGGAUAACCGCAUGAAAGUGUGGCUAAUACGGGAUAUUCUGGGUCUGUCGCAUGGUGGGCCUGGGAAAGAUUGCGCCUUUUUUGGUGUUUUUGGUGGGGGAUGGGCUCGCGGCCUAUCAGCUUGUUGGUGGGGUGAUGGCCUACCAAGGCGGUGACGGGUAGCCGGGCUGAGAGGGUGGACGGGCACAAUGGGACUGAGACACGGCCCAGACUCCUACGGGAGGCAGCAGUGGGGAAUAUUGCACAAUGGGCGCAAGCCUGAUGCAGCGACGCCGCGUGAGGGAUGGAGGCCUUCGGGUUGUGAACCUCUUUCGCCAGUGAAGCAGGCCUGCCUCUUUUUGUGGGUGGGUUGACGGUAGCUGGAUAAGAAGCGCCGGCUAACUACGUG